This 253-nucleotide ribosomal RNA is filed under the name uncultured bacterium. RNAcentral describes it as "partial 16S ribosomal RNA". It matches the Rfam family "Bacterial small subunit ribosomal RNA", at positions 524 to 776 of the family's 1533-position model. The record is from RNAcentral.
GACAGAGGUGGCGAGCGUUGUCCGGAGUCACUGGGCGUAAAGCGCGCGCAGGCGGCAACCUAAGUGUCGUGUGAAAGCCCCCGGCUCAACCGGGGGAGGCCAUGGCAAACUGGGUCGCUCGAGCUGCGGAGAGGCCCCUCGAAUUGCCGGUGUAGCGGUGAAAUGCGUAGAGAUCGGCAGGAAGACAAAGGGGGAAGCCAGGGGGCUGGCCGCAGGCUGACGCUGAGGCGCGACAGCGUGGGGAGCAAACCGG